Molecule: long non-coding RNA, 767 nt
Filed under: Apteryx haastii (Great spotted kiwi)
Lineage: Eukaryota; Metazoa; Chordata; Aves; Apterygiformes; Apterygidae
Description: lncRNA (ENSAHAG00000016384.1)
Source: RNAcentral
UUUGUUUUAACUUGACUCUGAAGGGAGUGAGGCCCAGACAGCGGUGCUGCGAGAAGGCCUCCCUCCUCGUUUUUCUUUUUUUUUUUCAGGUGGACGUUGGCCAGUUUUAACCGAAUUUGGCAGAAGGGGUGGCAGCUGCAAGCUCUCACAUCUUUUCUAAAUAUGAGCAGCCCAAGGGAAAGGAGAGACAAUAGCCAGGUCUCCUUCCUCACCUCCGAUUACAGGAAGAAAGCUGGAGGGUGAAUUCAACCAUUGUUAGGCACCAGAAAAUCCACUUCUCCGUUAAGGUUUCUGAGGUGUGCGCUUUCCUGAUCACACAUAAGGAGGGGUGUUGGAGAAUGAAAUGAGUUCCCAUACUCUUUUCCUUGGAAUAUCUCAAAAACUCAAUCAUGGGCAUGCAUCCACUGGAAACACUUCCUGCACUGCAGCCACGUCACCAGUGCACAGCCAGGAUUGACUAUGCCAAUAUAGAGGGCAACAUUAUAAAGACAGAGGGAGAAGUACAAAGGAGAGCAGCUACAUUGAGUUUUUCAAGGCUCUGGAGCAGAGCUAUCAUUGUAUCACUUUUGACAAGAACAAAGGUUAAACUAGAAGAACAGUCAAUGAUUGAUGCAGUGACAAGAUUUGCAGAGCUGCCUUUGACCAUUAAAUACCUUCCCAUCCCCAAAUGCGUACCCAAAGUAAAUCAUAGCUUAUUCCUUCUCAGACAAGUUUCUUGUAGUUUGUUUGGUGGCAUGUUCCUCAGGAAGAAAAAAGUACCUCUUUGA